RNAcentral lists this ribosomal RNA (75 nucleotides) under Salmonella enterica subsp. enterica serovar Typhimurium str. STm12. Its description in RNAcentral is "partial 23S ribosomal RNA". Lineage: Bacteria; Pseudomonadati; Pseudomonadota; Gammaproteobacteria; Enterobacterales; Enterobacteriaceae. The record is from RNAcentral.
GGUUAAUAAGGUAAAGUUAAUAAGGGCGCACGGUGGAUGCCUUGGCACUAGAAGCCGAAGAAGGACGUGACAAAC